Lotus japonicus is the source of this 3278-nucleotide long non-coding RNA. RefSeq lists it as uncharacterized. The transcript has 3 exons. The record is from RefSeq and is a predicted model, not a curated record. NCBI's taxonomy places the organism in Eukaryota, Viridiplantae, Streptophyta, Magnoliopsida, Fabales, Fabaceae.
CGUGUUCUUCUAUUCUUCUGGUUUCAUCCACGCCGGUCUUCCAUCUUCUUUUUCUUUUGUUUUAAAAUUUUCGAAAUUUGGUUUCCUCUUCCCUCUAGUUCGUGUUUCUUUUCUCCACGCGUGUCUCUCGACCAAGAUGGCAAACAAGAGGAAGACAAGGGCAACCUCUAACUCUCCCUCUUUUCUUUCAACCCAACACAAAGAAUUCUACGUGGACUUGGAGAAAAGGCAGGUGAUUAAGGAGAGGGGGUUUUCUAUACCCUUGCGCAUAUAUACUCAAUUCAGCAAUGUGAUUGAUGAGAGAGGGUGGAGGAAGUUGGCUGGACCGCCUGGUUAUGGUUGUGAAGUGUUAGUGCGAGAGUUCUAUGCUCAUGCUAAGCUCAUUAACCAAACCAAUGCACUAUCGGAGCGAUCGUAUAAAUCUUGGUUCCGAGGAACCAAAAUAGACUACAGUCCACAAGCCAUUCAUCGUUACUUGCAGCUGCCACAGCGAGAUCCUUUAGAGCAACGCCUCUCUUAUCAUGACUUGUUGGAGCCCCCCUUGCACGAUGAAAUUUUGGAAGCGGUUGCCAUCCCUGGCGCAAAAUGGAAAUUCACUGCUGGUAGAAGGAUAGCGAGUAUUCUGAGGAACUUAUUGACACUUGAUGCAAGAAUUUGGGCCCAUUUUAUUCUGGACACUAUUUGACCCACUUCCCAUAAAAGUGAUUUGCGACUUUGAGAAACUCUAGUCAUCUAUUGCAUUUUGAAGAAGUGUCCUAUUGAUAUAGGAAGGCUCAUUGCUGAUGAGAUUUAUGAUACUGUUAAUGGCAAUAAUGUGGAUUCUCGGUUGCCUUAUCCUAUUCUGAUUACUCGGUUGGUAGAGGAUCAGUUUGGUACUUAUGAAAUUCACACGCCAAUUCGGCCAGAACCCACACUCACUGACAGAGAGAUCACAAAGCUGAUGAAAAAAGCUGGGAGGCAUCAUGAGGAGUUCUACCGAAGGCAAAAGGAGGAGCGUAAUCAGCAGCGACAAGCAACUCCUAGUACCCAAAAGAGCUUGCCUCCUCAGUCAGAUAUCCUCAUGUUAUAUGAUGCUGUUGGGGCCAUACUCCGCCGUGUCGAUGCUGUCCACACAAACCAGCAGUUGCAAUGGGAGCGAGAAGGAAGACCUGAUGCAAAAUUUGUGCGUCGCUGGCCUUUUGGUGAUCUUGAGCAGAAAAUUCUGGAGCUGAGUGGGAAUUCUGAAGCUCAAAGUACCGGAGCGGCUGAAGAGGGGAGUGAUGAUGAUGAGCCUCAGAGCUCAGAUUGAGGGAGUUCUUUCCCUUAUCUUUUUACUGUUUUAUCUUUCGUUCAGUUUUAGUUUUCUUAGUUUUUAUGUCUUAUUUAAUUACGUUUUACAGGAUAGUUAGUUUGUGUUUUGUGGAGUCAGUUUACCCUUAUAUGCCUGUGUUAUGCACCAUAUUACUUGCGUAUCUUAAGCGGUUUCACCCUGAAUUUAGAUGCUUGUUUUGUUUGUGAAAAUUGUUGAAAUUUGUUAUUUGGGGUGAUUCACAUGUGGGGAACUGUUUGUGUUAAGAGAAUGAGAGCUGGGUAGCUUUGGGAACCUGGGUUGAGUUGCUUGGAAACACUGUUUCGAGUUCUGAUAAUGGGUACACUUACCCUUUUGUUUCUGAGUGUUGAGUCAAUAUUCUGACAUACUUGUACCUGCUUGAACCUGUCUUGAUUUGCAUCUCGGUUGAAUAUGUGCAGUGUAACACCCCGAUUUCCGGGUGCCACUUUAGUAACCAAAAAUAACUCUACGCGGAAAACAGGUGCUUUUGAGGAUUUCUCUGAGGAACAACACUUUGUGUGCGAGGAAGCGCUAGACGAUCAUUCUGGAGAACCUUCAGGUGAGGGCUUCUCACUGAAUCUCUAGUUAAUACUUAGGGUCGAUGUUUUCGACAUUGUUUAAUGUUUAUGCACUGGAUUGUGUGUGAUUGGAAAAUGUUUUCUGAGGCUUCGGCUGACAAUGUAGAUGAUGAAUCUACUGAAUGCUUUUGAGAUUGACUUACAUGCUAUGUGCUAUGUGGGUAAUCUAGGAUGUGUGGUGCAUGCCUUAUAUGCUAAGUGCUAAGUGUUUAUAAUGAGAUUUAUUGAUAUAUGACAUGUUGAUUGUGAUGGUUUAAAUAUGCUUUGCACUGGAAUCUGAGAUUCUGAAUGGUGAGAAUAGCGGGCAGGUCAUGCCGAUUUUAUUUUGAGAGUUUUGAGAAAGUUUGAUAGGACGAACGAGGUUCGGGCCUUAUUUUUGUUAAGUGGAUCGAGACAUUCUCUGGAAGCGACUUGGGAUUGGGAGAUCCUGAAAAUGUAUAAGACUUGCGAUAAGACAAAAUGGAAUCUAUUUUAUAAAGAAAACUCAUAAGACCUUAAAUAUCCUCUAAAUCUUUAAGUAAUGAUAACAACCUCGAAGGAAGGCAUUGGAAGUCAAAUCUUAAUUUUGGAAAAAACGAGAAGUGUCGUCGGAUCCAAGUGUUGAGUAUGUCGUUGUUGUGCUGUUGGAGCAGCGUUUGUUGUUGUGCUGUUGGAGCAGCUAUGUUGUUGGGCUAUCCUGGGGAUAAGUCCGGGGAAUUGAUAGUUCCCGAGUAUGUGAUACUCUUGUGCUGUUGGAGCAGCUAUGUGUUGAUGUGAAGUGUGUCUUUUGGUCGCAGAAUCGACCGUUACCUUAGGGUAAGCUUUUAGAGACUUUAAUUUACCUAGAACACGUGGCGACGUGUCGAGUGAGAUUCGGAGACGUUGUUUGACUAAUCAUCCUGCAUACAUGCAACAUUAAUGAGGUAUUAACACAGGACGUACUCUGGACCUCGUCGGUUUCCAAAAUGGUCAUAAGACCCGGAAUGCCGUGUAAGAGCGUUUGUAGACAUCUCUUGUAGCAGACCGAAAUGGCAGACCUACGGGUUUACUGCUGAUCUGACUACGCGUGGUUGUUGGAGUAAGAGGCACGCGGGCCGAAAUGGCUCCACCGUGGCUGGUGUUAGGGCUGAUCCGUUUGAUGUCCAUCCCUUUCCGGAAUGCAUGUGGUUAACUGGGUUAACCGUCAUUUGCAUAUCAUGCAACAUGCAUAUCAAUUUAGUUGUUGAGUGUGACUGGUAAUUGUUAAUCCUAUUUGGAACAUGCUAUUUGCUAUUAUUGCGUUUAUGUUAUUGUGGAACAUGCAACCCUAGGAAUGAUAUCUCUAGUUAUAAGCCUAAGUGGCUAUCUAUUAUUUGUACCUAUUGGGUUUAUUAUCUACAUAGUUCUUUAGAGUUGACCCUCGCGUCUUCUGU